Molecule: small nucleolar RNA, 133 nt
Organism: Myotis lucifugus (little brown bat)
Lineage: Eukaryota; Metazoa; Chordata; Mammalia; Chiroptera; Vespertilionidae
Source: Ensembl
ACCCUCCAGUUCCCUUUUCCAUCUGAUUUGAACACCACUCUUGGAGUUCGUAAAAGGAGAAAAAAUAAUACUGAAGCUGGCCUCGCAGUGCUUAUCGUCUGCUCUAUAGGAUGUGGGCUAGUUUAAAACAAGC